This 497-nucleotide ribosomal RNA is filed under the name uncultured bacterium. RNAcentral's name for it is "partial 16S ribosomal RNA". It matches the Rfam family "Bacterial small subunit ribosomal RNA", at positions 28 to 507 of the family's 1533-position model. The record is from RNAcentral.
GAUGAACGCUGGCGGCGUGCCUAAUACAUGCAAGUCGAGCGAACGGACGAGAAGCUUGCUUCUCUGACGUUAGCGGCGGACGGGUGAGUAACACGUGGAUAACCUACCUAUAAGACUGGGAUAACUUCGGGAAACCGGAGCUAAUACCGGAUAAUAUUUUGAACCGCAUGGUUCAAAAGUGAAAGACGGUUUUGCUGUCACUUAUAGAUGGAUCCGCGCUGCAUUAGCUAGUUGGUAAGGUAACGGCUUACCAAGGCAACGAUGCGUAGCCGACCUGAGAGGGUGAUCGGCCACACUGGAACUGAGACACGGUCCAGACUCCUACGGGAGGCAGCAGUAGGGAAUCUUCCGCAAUGGGCGAAAGCCUGACGGAGCAACGCCGCGUGAGUGAUGAAGGUCUUCGGAUCGUAAAACUCUGUUAUUAGGGAAGAACAUAUGUGUAAGUAACUGUGCACAUCUUGACGGUACCUAAUCAGAAAGCCACGGCUAACUACGUG